CUCUGGUUUGUUGAUCUAGAUUAUGAUAAGAGCAUCAGCUAAUUAAAUCUAAAUUCUUUUUUUCAACGUCUCACGUUUAGUUUUAUUGAGUGCUGCGUUCAUUAGUCAACCUUCAAGGUGAAAGUUAUUUGUCAUAUAUCCAUUGGAACGCUCAUAUUCAAAGUUUGAUAUUAUUUCGUUUUCAAUUACUGAUCGGAAGCGGUAAUUUAGAAGAAUCGUCGAAAUGAGUAAAUGUAUGAUUUGGACAGUUCCUAGAACAAAGGGAAUAAUCUUAGCAAAGUCACUUACCCUUAACGAAGACGUGAAAUGCUUCUACGAACCAUUUGCUUUCACAUAUUUCAAACAACUUGAGUCAAAUUUCUCCGGUUUGAAAACGAUUUUGACGACAAAUUUCUUUGGGUCGAAGACAAGCUCCAUUUUGAAAGAUCACCCUGUUUACAUACCUGACAGUUCAUUUGAGCCAUGGGUAGGCGAUCAAUGUGUCAAACACGUCAUUUUGAUUCGUAACCCAAUUGAAUGUGCUUUAUCGGCGUUACCUUUGGACGGGAAAACAAUCCCUUACAUCGAGUAUUAUAGCCAUCACGAUUUCAACUUGGAACAAUAUUGGAGAGCGCUCUUGGACAUGAAGAAUUUCUAGAAUCUUCUGGAAGAACUUUCAAAGUGUUUGAUUCAACAGAUCUCAAUGCAGAAACGUCUGAGCACUUUGUGAAACGUUUAUGCGAGUUUGGCGAAUUACCUUUUGAUGCUGAAAGUUUGAAAAAUAUGCCAGCUUAUGAAGUGUUCCCAAAACACUGGUGGGUUCCCCCGGAUCUACAAAAGAAUAGGAAUUGGGUAGCUCCAAAAACCAACUUUACAAUUGACUUCUACGGCUCAGCAUUGAAAGCUACUUCGUUCAGCUCAAAGAAGUCAGUCUUCACCGAGGAAAAUUUGACCGUGCAGCAAUGUGAAAACUUGAAAAAGUUGCUGAACACAAUUGAACCUAUAUUUAAAGAGCUGAAACUAUACUGCUGUAAUUGAUUGCUCAAAGAAGUGUUUGAGUUCCUAUCAACAAACAAGACUAUUCGAUCACUGUGCUUUUUGCAGGGAAAAAGAAAUCAAUUAGAUCAAAAAUUCCAGCUCUUUACUACCAACUCUUAAGUACAUUAUAUGUGUGUUUGAGUUUCAAAAAGAGCAGUUUUUCCAACACUGAGGAAAAAAAUUAUAAUUUUAUUUUGAUAUCGAAAUCAAGAACAAAAGUGAUCUAAUAUGGUACCCACUUGAUUUUCCACGAAUCAUUUUGUCAAGUCGCCAGAACUAAAAAAAAUUCAUUUAAAUCAAAAAAAUUGUUGCUGUGAGCGAAGUAAACGAACUUAAUGCGAACAUACGACAGACAAUACGACCUCAAAUGAGAAAUUGGAGUGAAAAAUUAAUAAUAGUCUGGAGAUUCGAUUGAGAUUCAUUUUAAUAGAUACCGUGUAUUUAUCAGUUGAUCAAAGUCUAAGUAUUUAAUUCAAUUUAAUUUUACAUCAUG
This is a long non-coding RNA of Symsagittifera roscoffensis, 1510 nucleotides long. RefSeq lists it as uncharacterized. The transcript has 3 exons. The record is from RefSeq and is a predicted model, not a curated record. Lineage: Eukaryota; Metazoa; Xenacoelomorpha; Acoela; Convolutidae.